RNAcentral lists this non-coding RNA (45 nucleotides) under Schistosoma margrebowiei. The record is from RNAcentral. Lineage: Eukaryota; Metazoa; Platyhelminthes; Trematoda; Strigeidida; Schistosomatidae.
AUCCAGCUGACGAGUCCCACGUAGGACGAAACACCCUUCUUGGAA